RNAcentral lists this ribosomal RNA (492 nucleotides) under uncultured bacterium. RNAcentral's name for it is "partial 16S ribosomal RNA". It matches the Rfam family "Bacterial small subunit ribosomal RNA", at positions 29 to 507 of the family's 1533-position model. The record is from RNAcentral.
AGUGAACGCUGGCGGUAGGCCUAACACAUGCAAGUCGAACGGCAGCACAGUAAGAGCUUGCUCUUACGGGUGGCGAGUGGCGGACGGGUGAGGAAUACAUCGGAAUCUACUUUUUCGUGGGGGAUAACGUAGGGAAACUUACGCUAAUACCGCAUACGACCUACGGGUGAAAGCAGGGGAUCUUCGGACCUUGCGCGAUUGAAUGAGCCGAUGUCGGAUUAGCUAGUUGGCGGGGUAAAGGCCCACCAAGGCGACGAUCCGGAGCUGGUAUGGGAGGAUGAUGAGCCAGACUGGAACUGGGGCACGGUCCAGAGUCCUACGGGAGGCAGCAGUGGGGAAUAUUGGACAAUGGGGGCAAGCCUGAUCCAGCCAUACCGCGUGGGUGAAGAAGGCCUUCGGGUUGUAAAGCCCUUUUGUUGGGAAAGAAAAGCAGCAGGUUAAUACCCCGCUGUUCUGACGGUACCCAAAGAAUAAGCACCGGCUAACUUCGUG